GACGGAGGGUGCGAGCGUUAAUCGGAAUUACUGGGCGUAAAGCGCAUGUAGGCGGCCGAACAAGUCAGGUGUGAAAUCCUCGGGCUUAACCUGGGAAGUGCACUUGAUACUGUCCGGCUAGAGUUUGGCAGAGGAAAGUAGAAUUCCCGGUGUAGCGGUGAAAUGCGUAGAUAUCGGGAGGAAUACCAGUGGCGAAGGCGGCUUUCUGGGCCAAUACUGACGCUGAGGUGCGAAAGCGUGGGGAGCAAACAGG
Molecule: ribosomal RNA, 253 nt
Filed under: uncultured bacterium
Lineage: Bacteria
Description: partial 16S ribosomal RNA
Rfam family: Bacterial small subunit ribosomal RNA
Source: RNAcentral